This 1262-nucleotide long non-coding RNA is filed under the name Bos grunniens (domestic yak). RNAcentral describes it as "lncRNA (ENSBGRG00000006134.1)". Lineage: Eukaryota; Metazoa; Chordata; Mammalia; Artiodactyla; Bovidae. The record is from RNAcentral.
AUGAGCGGCCCCAACCCCGCCCCGGUCCGCCCGCCCCGCCCUGCCCUCCCUCCUGCCCGAGGCUCCCGGACCCGCGCUGGGGCCGGCGCUCAGGGAGCCAGCGAGCGGGCAGGCGGCCGGGCGGCGCCGGGCGGGAGGCGAGGUAGAAAGUUUCUCUGCUCGCCUCAUCUAGCGAGCCGGAGCCGAGAGCAAUCUCGGGACCCGCCCGGCCAGCGCGAGAAGAGAGACGGGAGCACAUCGCCAAACACACUGGAAAAGAAAAGAAAAGAAAAAAACCUGAAGUCAGCCCCAGGAGCAGGGACAGAUAAGGUUUGAACAGGACUGGGAGGUCAAUGAGAGGGUAAAUUUCCUUCUUCCCAAGGUGACCAGUUGGCUCCAAUGAAGUCCAAGAGAUGGAAGUUUGGGUUGAAAACAGACUUGGAUUCUAGUUUUACAGACUUGGCUUCCAGUCUGCAGGUAUGGGACCCCAGCUGAAGUCACCUAUCCUCCCCACUGAGCUUGACCAGUAAAGCCUGAGCCCUCUGGGAGCUGAUUUCAUUAAAAAUAUGUAUUGUGUACUCAGCACUGUUCACCAUACCAUGUGAGAUACAAGGAAGCUUUGGGGUGCCAUCCCAGCCUUUAAGGAAGUUUAAAGACCCUAAGAUUCUGAAAAACUCAGUAAUGCAAGAGCUGUCUGCAGGCUCUACAGGCUGAGUGCCAAGUGAGCUGAGUAGCAGCUCUGGGCCCAGAGUGGGGGGCUUCCGGUGGUCAGUGGGGCUUCUCACAGUAGAGAGAAAAGAGCCAGGUCUGGAAACGAAGUCUUCCUUUCAAAGGAAGCUGAGGUUGGGACUUCCCAGUGGUGAAGACUCCAUGCUCCUAAUGCAGAGUGCAUGGGUUCGAUCCCUGGUUAGGGAACUAAGAUCCCGCAUGCUGCAUGUUGCAGCCUUAAAAAAAAAAGGAAAAAAGAAAAGGAAGCUGAGGUUUCACAACCACAUUCAAGUUCUUUGUGAGAGGACUUGUCCCCUCCUUCUCAGCACUCAAUGCUUGCACGUGGUGUACCCUGAGGACCAUGUGGAUGAAUAAUAGUGAGUGUGAAGUUUGCUAAGUCCCACAGAUGGAACUGAACAUAAGAACGCAAAGGUGUGGUUCCCAAGAUUAGCAAUUGUCCUGGGCUGGUGAUGCAGGCAAAGCUCCAGUCCCAGCCCAGCAGCUACCAGCUAUUCCAGCUAUUCCUGGAGGCCAGCCAGCCCUGCCACCCACGGCUGAGGCUCUGCCUUCUCGGC